AUGGCGGACUGGGGGCCGGUGGUGGUCGCGACGGUGCUGUUCGUGCUGCUGACGCCGGGGCUGCUGUUCCAGCUGCCGGCGCAGGGCCGGAUCGUGGCCUUCGGCAGCAUGCACACCGGCGGCCUCGCCAUCCUCGUCCACGCCGUCAUCUACUUCGCCCUCAUCACCAUCUUCCUCAUCGCCAUCGGGGUCCACAUCUACGCCGGCUAG
This 210-nucleotide ribosomal RNA is filed under the name Triticum aestivum (bread wheat). RNAcentral describes it as "partial small subunit ribosomal RNA". The record is from RNAcentral. Lineage: Eukaryota; Viridiplantae; Streptophyta; Magnoliopsida; Poales; Poaceae.